UGCAGUCGAACGGUGAAGCAGAGCUUGCUCUGUGGAUCAGUGGCGAACGGGUGAGUAACACGUGAGUAACCUGCCCUUGACUCUGGGAUAAGCGUUGGAAACGACGUCUAAUACCGGAUAUGACCCUCAACCGCAUGGUUAGGGGGUGGAAAGAUUUUUUGGUCAAGGAUGGACUCGCGGCCUAUCAGCUUGUUGGUGAGGUAAUGGCUCACCAAGGCGACGACGGGUAGCCGGCCUGAGAGGGUGACCGGCCACACUGGGACUGAGACACGGCCCAGACUCCUACGGGAGGCAGCAGUGGGGAAUAUUGCACAAUGGGCGCAAGCCUGAUGCAGCAACGCCGCGUGAGGGAUGACGGCCUUCGGGUUGUAAACCUCUUUUAGUAGGGAAGAAGCGAAAGUGACGGUACCUGCAGAAAAAGCACCGGCUAACUACGUGCCAGCAGCCGCGGUAAUACGUAGGGUGCAAGCGUUGUCCGGAAUUAUUGGGCGUAAAGAGCUCGUAGGCGGUUUGUCGCGUCUGCUGUGAAAACUGGAGGCUCAACCUCCAGCCUGCAGUGGGUACGGGCAGACUAGAGUGCGGUAGGGGAGAUUGGAAUUCCUGGUGUAGCGGUGGAAUGCGCAGAUAUCAGGAGGAACACCGAUGGCGAAGGCAGAUCUCUGGGCCGUAACUGACGCUGAGGAGCGAAAGCGUGGGGAGCGAACAGGAUUAGAUACCCUGGUAGUCCACGCCGUAAACGUUGGGAACUAGAUGUGGGGACCAUUCCACGGUCUCCGUGUCGCAGCUAACGCAUUAAGUUCCCCGCCUGGGGAGUACGGCCGCAAGGCUAAAACUCAAAGGAAUUGACGGGGGCCCGCACAAGCGGCGGAGCAUGCGGAUUAAUUCGAUGCAACGCGAAGAACCUUACCAAGGCUUGACAUAUACGAGAACGGGCCAGAAAUGGUCAACUCUUUGGACACUCGUAAACAGGUGGUGCAUGGUUGUCGUCAGCUCGUGUCGUGAGAUGUUGGGGUUAAGUCCCGCAACGAGCGCAACCCUCGUUCUAUGUUGCCAGCACGUUAUGGUGGGAACUC
Molecule: ribosomal RNA, 1073 nt
Filed under: Curtobacterium sp. 1152G50
Lineage: Bacteria; Bacillati; Actinomycetota; Actinomycetes; Micrococcales; Microbacteriaceae
Description: bacterial SSU rRNA
Rfam family: Bacterial small subunit ribosomal RNA
Source: RNAcentral